Molecule: long non-coding RNA, 604 nt
Filed under: Gallus gallus (chicken)
Lineage: Eukaryota; Metazoa; Chordata; Aves; Galliformes; Phasianidae
Description: lncRNA (ENSGALG00010022023.1)
Source: RNAcentral
CUUUAUUUGGAGACUCAAAAGUUCCCGGCCAGAUAAAGUCCUUACUAAGCUGUAAGGCUGUGCAAGAGAAGGUGCUAUUGAGCUAGCUCUGAUAUUACUGAUGGACCGCAGUGCUCCCUCCGUAUGCUCUGUGGGGUGCUCCUGAGGACAGUUUGUCAGCCUGGCUGCAGAGAUUGGAGGGCUGCGAGUCUGUCACUCAAAUAUCUGCUGAGGGGAUGAGUCCGUGCCUGCCAGAGUCCUCGCCAAGGAGGAACAAGGAAGAUGGGGAGGUGACCUGGACUGGUGUCUGUUGCUGCACUCUGAGGAAUUUCACCUUAGGAAAAUGCAAAUGGACUUGGAACUAAUUUUGUUCAAGAACGUGAGCAGGCACUCAGAGGGCCUUUUUUUUCCCCCUCUUACCAUGACUUCUCUAAUUACUGGGAUGAAUGUGUAAACCCUCAUGCUGAAGUGUUCACAAGAGUGAGUUUACUCAUUUUACCAUUUCUUGGCAUAAAAAGCAUCGUAUUAAGCAGGUUUUAAGGUUUUCUCACCAAGAGAUGUGGAUUAUAAAGCUUUAGAAAUAACUUGCAUCUGGAAAAGCCAAUUAAUAAAACAAAAAUUCUGA